AAAUUAUCAAAAGGUAAAAUGAAACAGUCGAGACUCUCUGGGAAUCAUCAGAACAGUAUCUUGGAUGUUAUAAUCGAGAUAUCCGGUAAUGGAAUGAUACCUCAACUAAAUCUCAAGACUUUUCCAGGAUGCUAGAGCAGUAUCUCUAAAAAGUCUGGCAUGAGACUCUUCAUAUUGAUGAAGCAGCAUCUCAACAGUAAAAAUGAGAUUCUCUGUAUCGAGUCGAAACAGCAUCUUAUAUGAUAGAAUUAAGAUAUUCCAGCAAGGGAAAG
Molecule: long non-coding RNA, 272 nt
Filed under: Lathyrus oleraceus (garden pea)
Lineage: Eukaryota; Viridiplantae; Streptophyta; Magnoliopsida; Fabales; Fabaceae
Description: Pisum sativum (pea) long non-coding RNA (PSAT_LNC039852)
Source: RNAcentral